UAGGGAAUCUUCCACAAUGGACGCAAGUCUGAUGGAGCAACGCCGCGUGAGUGAAGAAGGCUUUCGGGUCGUAAAACUCUGUUGUUGGAGAAGAAUGGUCGGCAGAGUAACUGUUGUCGGCGUGACGGUAUCCAACCAGAAAGCCACGGCUAACUACGUGCCAGCAGCCGCGGUAAUACGUAGGUGGCAAGCGUUAUCCGGAUUUAUUGGGCGUAAAGCGAGCGCAGGCGGUUUUUUAAGUCUGAUGUGAAAGCCCUCGGCUUAACCGAGGAAGCGCAUCGGAAACUGGGAAACUUGAGUGCAGAAGAGGACAGUGGAACUCCAUGUGUAGCGGUGAAAUGCGUAGAUAUAUGGAAGAACACCAGUGGCGAAGGCGGCUGUCUGGUCUGUAACUGACGCUGAGGCUCGAAAGCAUGGGUAGCGAACAGGAUUAGAUACCC
This 440-nucleotide ribosomal RNA is filed under the name uncultured bacterium. RNAcentral describes it as "bacterial SSU rRNA". It matches the Rfam family "Bacterial small subunit ribosomal RNA", at positions 355 to 787 of the family's 1533-position model. The record is from RNAcentral.